UGGCGGACGGGUGAGUAAUGUCUGGAAACUGCCCGAUGGAGGGGGAUAACUACUGGAAACGGUAGCUAAUACCGCAUAACGUCGCAAGACCAAANAGGGGGACCUUCGGGCCUCUUGCCAUCGGAUGUGCCCAGAUGGGAUUAGCUAGUAGGUGGGGUAAAGGCUCACCUAGGCGACGAUCCCUAGCUGGUCUGAGAGGAUGACCAGCCACACUGGAACUGAGACACGGUCCAGACUCCUACGGGAGGCAGCAUG
Molecule: ribosomal RNA, 255 nt
Filed under: uncultured bacterium
Lineage: Bacteria
Description: partial 16S ribosomal RNA
Rfam family: Bacterial small subunit ribosomal RNA
Source: RNAcentral